This 198-nucleotide ribosomal RNA is filed under the name uncultured bacterium. RNAcentral describes it as "partial 16S ribosomal RNA". It matches the Rfam family "Bacterial small subunit ribosomal RNA", at positions 328 to 539 of the family's 1533-position model. The record is from RNAcentral.
ACGCUCGACACCUACUGGAGGCAGCAGUGGGGAAUAUUGCACAAUGGGGGAAACCCUGAUGCAGCGACGCCGCGUGGAGGAAGAAGGUCUUCGGAUUGUAAACUCCUGUUGUUGGGGAAAAAGAGGAUGGUACCCAACAAGGAAGUGACGGCUAACUACGUGCCAUCAGCCGCGGUAAUCUGAGCGGGCUGGCAAGGC